GGGGGCAUAGCUCGGUGGUAGAGCACAUGCUUAGCAUGCACAAGGUCCUGGGUUCAAUCCCAGUACCUCCA
This 71-nucleotide transfer RNA is filed under the name Camelus bactrianus (Bactrian camel). It matches the Rfam family "tRNA". From Rfam's summary of the family: Transfer RNA (tRNA) molecules are approximately 80 nucleotides in length. Their secondary structure includes four short double-helical elements and three loops (D, anti-codon, and T loops). Lineage: Eukaryota; Metazoa; Chordata; Mammalia; Artiodactyla; Camelidae. RNAcentral also lists the same sequence under 1 other name. The record is from Rfam by way of RNAcentral.